UUGACUCUCAAAUGAUAAUGUUUAUUAUUACCAGUAACUGAUCGCGAGAUCAGCCGGUAAGCUGAGAGCACAAGCGGGCUCUUCAGACUAUCUCCUCAUCAGGCUAAUCACGGUUUUGACCCGGCUCUUGCCGGGUCUUUUUUU
This 144-nucleotide small RNA is filed under the name uncultured Pseudomonas sp. RNAcentral describes it as "PrrF RNA". It matches the Rfam family "PrrF RNA". From Rfam's summary of the family: PrrF RNA is a small RNA involved in iron homeostasis and is found exclusively in Pseudomonas species. Their expression is induced under iron limitation by the ferric uptake regulator (Fur) and they act to negatively regulate several genes including sodB and sdh. The record is from RNAcentral. Lineage: Bacteria; Pseudomonadati; Pseudomonadota; Gammaproteobacteria; Pseudomonadales; Pseudomonadaceae.